RNAcentral lists this ribosomal RNA (794 nucleotides) under uncultured marine thaumarchaeote. RNAcentral describes it as "bacterial SSU rRNA". It matches the Rfam family "Archaeal small subunit ribosomal RNA", at positions 83 to 879 of the family's 1478-position model. Lineage: Archaea; Thermoproteati; Nitrososphaerota. The record is from RNAcentral.
CGGCUGCUCAGUACCCGUAGUCAACCUAACCUAUGGACGGGAAUAACCUCGGGAAACUGAGAAUAAUGCCCGAUAGAACACUAUACCUGGAAUGGUUUGUGUUCCAAAUGAUUUAUCGCCGUAGGAUGGGACUGCGGCCUAUCAGUUUGUUGGUGAGGUAAUGGCCCACCAAGACUAUUACAGGUACGGGCUCUGAGAGGAGUAGCCCGGAGAUGGGUACUGAGACACGGACCCAGGCCCUAUGGGGCGCAGCAGGCGAGAAAACUUUGCAAUGUGCGAAAGCACGACAAGGUUAAUCCGAGUGGUUUCUGCUAAAGGAACCUUUUGUUAGUCCUAGAAACACUAACGAAUAAGGGGUGGGCAAGUUCUGGUGUCAGCCGCCGCGGUAAAACCAGCACCUCAAGUGGUCAGGAUGAUUAUUGGGCCUAAAGCAUCCGUAGCCGGCUCUGUAAGUUUUCGGUUAAAUCUGUACGCUCAACGUACAGGCUGCCGGGAAUACUGCAGAGCUAGGGAGUGGGAGAGGUAGACGGUACUCGGGAGGAAGUGGUAAAAUGCUUUGAUCUCUCGAUGACCACCUGUGGCGAAGGCGGUCUACCAGAACACGUCCGACGGUGAGGGAUGAAAGCUGGGGGAGCAAACCGGAUUAGAUACCCGGGUAGUCCCAGCUGUAAACUAUGCAAACUCAGUGAUGCAUUGGCUUGUGGCCAAUGCAGUAUUGCAGGGAAGCCGUUAAGUUUGCCGCCUGGGAAGUACGUACGCAAGUAUGAAACUUAAAGGAAUUGGCGGGGGAGCAG